This 253-nucleotide ribosomal RNA is filed under the name uncultured bacterium. RNAcentral's name for it is "partial 16S ribosomal RNA". It matches the Rfam family "Bacterial small subunit ribosomal RNA", at positions 524 to 776 of the family's 1533-position model. The record is from RNAcentral.
UACGAAGGGGGCUAGCGUUGCUCGGAAUUACUGGGCGUAAAGCGCACGUAGGCGGAUCUUUAAGUCAGGGGUGAAAUCCUGGAGCUCAACUCCAGAAUUGCCUUCGAUACUGUUUGGCUUGAGUAUGGCAGAGGUUGGUGGAACUGCGAGUGUAGAGGUGAAAUUCGUAGAUAUUCGCAAGAACACCAGUGGCGAAGGCGGCCAACUGGGCCAUUACUGACGCUGAGGCGCGAAAGCGUGGGGAGCAAACAGG